RNAcentral lists this ribosomal RNA (484 nucleotides) under uncultured bacterium. Its description in RNAcentral is "partial 16S ribosomal RNA". It matches the Rfam family "Bacterial small subunit ribosomal RNA", at positions 29 to 507 of the family's 1533-position model. The record is from RNAcentral.
AUUGAACGCUGGCGGCAGGCCUAACACAUGCAAGUCGAGCGGAUGAAGGGAGCUUGCUCUUGGCUUCAGCGGCGGACGGGUGUGUAAUGCCUAGGAAUCUGCCUGGUCGUGGGGGAUACCGUACGGAAACGGGCGCUAAUACCGCAUACGUCCUGAGGGAGAAAGUGGGGGUUCUUCGGACUUCACGCUAUCAGAUGAGCCUAGGUCGGAUUAGCUAGUUGGUGGGGUAGAGGCUUACCAAGGCGACGAUCCGUAACUGGCCUGAGAGGGUGAUCAGUCACUGUGGAACUGAGAGACGAUCCAGGCACCUACGGAAGGCAGCGGUGGGGAAUGGAGGAAAAUGGGCGGAAUCCUGAACAAGGGACGCCAGGUUGAUGAAGAAGGGCUGCGGAUUGUAAAGCGGUUUUAGGGUUGAAAAAGGGCAGUAGGAGAAGACCUGGCUGUGGUGACGGUACCUGCAGAAGAAGCACCGGCUAACUUCGUG